AGUGUCAUCUCUGGCCAUGAAAGCAGGCUGAGGAACCUCCUGAAGAUAGAAAGAAAGCUGCAGCAACCUGAGGCUGAACCUCAACAAUUUCUUUCCGCAGCUAUGGACAAACAAGGCAGUUUGGAAGGAAGUCAUUGGGAAGAAGGGAUUUCACUAUAAGGCAAUACUUGUUUCCAGGUGUGAUGAAGUCAUUUGCCACAAAGUCCCCUUGGCAUACAUCCAGAACUGUGUCGAUGUUAGCCAUAUCCAUCGGAAUACAGAUUCCCUGUCUUCUAUUGUAACUCAUGAUGGCACCCGCUGGACUUACAUUGUGAACCCCAUGUGGACGGGGACUUAAUCUUCUGUAAUUAGGGGAGAACAAUAUAUUUCUGACAGGUUCUGACACGUCACAGGACUUGCUUAUUUUGUAAGUUGAUCCUUUGAUAUCAAGAGAAUGCAAAAGGCCAUCCUACACACCAGAAACAAUAAAAAACAUCAAAAAUCAGUUCCAGUUACUAAA
Long non-coding RNA from Ornithorhynchus anatinus (platypus), 499 nucleotides. RefSeq lists it as uncharacterized. NCBI's taxonomy places the organism in Eukaryota, Metazoa, Chordata, Mammalia, Monotremata, Ornithorhynchidae. The transcript has 5 exons. The record is from RefSeq and is a predicted model, not a curated record.